This 76-nucleotide transfer RNA is filed under the name Candidatus Peregrinibacteria bacterium. RNAcentral's name for it is "tRNA-Lys". It matches the Rfam family "tRNA". From Rfam's summary of the family: Transfer RNA (tRNA) molecules are approximately 80 nucleotides in length. The record is from RNAcentral. Lineage: Bacteria; Candidatus Peregrinibacteriota. RNAcentral also lists the same sequence under 2 other names.
GGGUGUUUAGCUCAGUUGGUAGAGCAGUAGCCUCUUAAGCUAUUGGUCCUGGGUUCGAGUCCCAGAACACCCACCA